CGUAAAGUGGGACGUCUUCUCAAUUCAGUGGUGAAAGACAACAUAGGUAGAUUUCAGUGCACGAAGUCCACUUACUGGAUUGACCAUAUGCAAGCUGCCUUUAUGCUGAAGGAUCCCACCCCAAAGUGGCUACUCAAGAGCCAUUACUCAAAGGGAAAACCCAAACUGAUGCUGCAUUGUUUGGAGGAAAUGGCAAAAAUGCCUACAGAAGGAUGGUCAGAAGAAGGAGAGCUAUGUAAAUGACACAUCAGCAGUUG
This is a long non-coding RNA of Passer domesticus (house sparrow), 257 nucleotides long. RefSeq lists it as uncharacterized. Lineage: Eukaryota; Metazoa; Chordata; Aves; Passeriformes; Passeridae. The record is from RefSeq and is a predicted model, not a curated record. The transcript has 3 exons.